Long non-coding RNA from Amphiprion ocellaris (clown anemonefish), 309 nucleotides. Lineage: Eukaryota; Metazoa; Chordata; Actinopteri; Pomacentridae. The record is from Ensembl.
GAGGUGUUUCUGCUCAUGGAGCUGCAUGAAUGAAGAUCAGUGUCCACAUGUCUGCUGACCCCAACCAGGUAGUGGGUUAACCAGCAGGUAGAGGGUUCACCAGCAGGUAGUGGGUUAACCAGCAGGUAGAGGGUUCACCAGCAGGUAGAGGGUUCACCAGCAGGUAGAGGGUUAACCAGAAGGUAGAGGGUUAACCAGCAGGUAGUGGGUUAACCAGCAGGUAGAGGGUUCACCAGCAGGUAGAGGGUUAACCAGCAGGUAGAGGGUUCACCAGCAGGUAGAGGGUUAACCAGAAGGUAGAGGGUUAAC